ACAUUAACAAGUACAUCGACCUCGAAUUGCUUUAAAAUAAACUCAUUUUUCUAUACAUACUCUACACUUACAAUAGCACGACGAAUUAGGAUUUAUUUACCAUAAUUCUUUUCCUAAUCUCAAACUAUAUCGAACUUGCUGCAGCAACGUAAAAUGUAAUAUUCCUCCUAUUUAUUAUGCCAACCCCUGCUCUCUAUUCAAGCCUUCAUUCUAAUCACCUCUAUAAAAAUCCAUCUUUAUACUAGAACCAGCCAUCAAAGCGAUUCAGCGUAUUCUUUCGGUGCCCCCUCCCUGAAAUGAAUCUACGUGUCGAAGAGGAUCUGCGACAAGAAGUCAAGACAACCCGAUUAUCCCAUGCACGCUUCUCGGCGUGUAGUCUCGGUGUCUGGAGACCGGAGCUCGCGCAUGUGCCAACAGAGUGUACAUGCCGGUGGAGAGCGGCAAACCCAUCCACUCGACCAAGUCAAAGUCUCUUCUCUUCCUCUAAUUUUUCUUCUUCCUUUUCCUCUUUGCAGUACCUCGAUCUUCUUUUCCGCCCUUCAUCCUCUUCUUCUUCCUCUUCUUCCUGUUGGUUCUCUGCAACGUCCCAUGCCUUGGCGGCGAGUGGGCGUCGGACGGCAAUUAGCAUACUCGCGUGAUCAAAGCAGUGGGACACGUGCGACAAGAAUUAACGACCACCAGCAGAACGACUCUUUCUUCACGGAGUGCGCGCGCGAUAAAUCGCGCUUCCGAUGCCUUCGUCGACACCCGCCAUGCCGCCCACACGCGUGGCCCCUCCCGUCGUGGUUUGUCCACGAGCACGCGGCGCCCUCUGCCCACUGUUUUCUCAUCCAUUUCGCCAACGGACCCAACGAUCCGCCUUUGGCUUUCGGUGAUCGUUUCGCACAGGUUAUAUAUAGGCGGGCGCAUUCUUUAUCAGGCCAUUGCCGGAUGAAUUUAUACGGGAUAAUCCAGUGCUCGUUUCCGCUUCAACCACUUAUGAAUUAUGUCUUCUCAGAAAGUAAUACGUAUUUGGCUCUUUUUGGAGGUGUAUAGGUAGAUUAGAAGUGAAGGAUGUGUUUGAUAGCAAUAGAUAUAAGACAAGCAUGCCACUUCACACGAAGGUUCUAAGUGCCAUACAAAGAGAAAGAAACCAUCGUAGAAAGUAAUUCCCCUCGAGGAAAUUCGACUAUUGACCCCGAAACACUCGAGUGGCCUUUAGCCGGCAGGAAGUCUAACGGAAUCGCGAUCCCUAAAGCGAAUCGAACGGAAGGUACACAGGCGCAAGAUGGAUUCGCAGCACGAUUUUAAUAUUGCCACUUAUCUCGAAUUCCCUGUUACACGGGAGUAGCAUUUUCUGGUAUCUCUAAUACAUACUUGUUUCGUUGGUACGGGAUUCACGGUAAUUCUUAUGGUCUCUUCUGUAACCACCUACUCACGGAAAAGAAUGCCAUUGACAGAGUGUAUAGAGAGUGUAGAAGCGUGAUUUGCUGUGCAGACACGCGUGGUUGCUCGUAAUCAGCUGCAACAUUGUAUGAUGAUCAGCCAACGGGUGUUUGUAUUACGAUAGUUUCCGCAUCCUCCUUUCAUGAGUUCUAUUCUUUCACGAUUGAGGGCGCGACAGUUUUACUGUUCGUUUUUAUUGACAAAAUUUUCUUGCUUGCUGAUAUGGUCUAAUAAUUAAUAAAUUACGAUUUGAUUAUUGAAUUGUAAGAAGCGAAGUGAGAGCGAAGGAAGUGAAAUUCAUAGAAUUUUCAGAUUUAAUCAAACAUCGAUAGUAAAUUUUCAAUUUCAUUGUAAACUAUUAAUUAAGAAAUUAGAAGUCGAUUAGUAAAUAUGUGUAGGGUCUAAUGUGACGAAAGAAUAAGUGAAGUAGAAUUUCAAAGUCUAAUAAGAAAUCAAUGAUAAGUGUUAUUUUCAAUUUCAUCAAUUCAAUUAAAUCAUUUAUCAAACUCAUUGGCACAGACUCCUACCUUAUUUACUGUCAAUUUUGUGGAAUAUAACCUCUAAUUUGUAAAAUUUGCAUAUAUUAUUUCAUUUGUUUUAUUGCCAAACUUGCUAUUAUUAUGCAUUGUUAGUAAAGUUUCACUGAUAAUAUUAGCUCAGUUCUGCAAGAUGGUUCAGUUGAGCGACAAAGAAUAAAAAGGAAAGCAAAUAAAAUCUUAACACCAUA
Bombus impatiens (common eastern bumble bee) is the source of this 2152-nucleotide long non-coding RNA. RefSeq lists it as uncharacterized. NCBI's taxonomy places the organism in Eukaryota, Metazoa, Arthropoda, Insecta, Hymenoptera, Apidae. The record is from RefSeq and is a predicted model, not a curated record. The transcript has 2 exons.